GGGAGAGCAGAACUUGGACUGAGUCCUGCAGGACACAGAUGUAGUUUCACUCUUCUUGCCCAGGCUGGAGUGUAAUGGUGCGAUCUUGGCUCGCUGCAAUCUCUGUCUCCCAGGUUUAAGUGAUUCUCCUGCCUCAGCCUCCUGAGUAGUUGAGAUUACAGAUCAGUAACCCUGUACAGGGACUGUGUUCACAGGAUAUAAGGCAAAAAAAAUCCAUCUUCUCAUAAGAGCUUUAGAGACUCUUAGGCUUCUUUACUAGGACAGCUGAGCUCUAAAGCAUGUGAACUUCACCCACCACAACUGUUUGCUCCAUCUCAAGCUCAGAACCCUGCCCUGUCUGCCUAACCACAAGUAUCCAACCCAGUAUCUACAAAUAAAUGCUUCACUCAUCUACUCCUUUCAUGAAACAUUGCAAAUCUUUUUCUUACUAGUGCUUGGGCUUGCUUUUUUUUUUUUUUUUUUUUCUUUGCAAGGAAACAUAUAGAUGAGCCUCAAGAGAUUUAGAAAUCUUUUCAGAGUAACCAGCUGAAUGUCAGAAAGUCAUAUUUGGAGGCCAAUCUAGUUAGAUUAGAUAAAUAGUUUUUAAUUUUAACAAACUGUCUUCCUUUUCUAACUGGACCUCUGAUCUCACAGAAGCCAACAAAGUAUUUGCAGUUUAUAGGAUCUAAUUUUAAAAUAUGUGAAGAGUAGGCACAUCUGGAAGGCAGGGCAUCUAGAUCUUUGAAAAUCAAAAAUCCCGAAUUUCACAUUGAAUCUGAGGUCUCUAAAAGAAGGGACAUGCCACAAGACCAAGCCACACAAUUUUUCCACACUGCACAAUGCUGUAGAAACAUGUCUUCAAGGCUAGUAGCACAGCAACAAUCAGCCCACUUUUAAUCAGACCAUCCCCAAAGGAAAUCAUAUUCAUUGGUGGUGUUUUCACAGCCUUUAAACUGUGUCCAAACUGCACCUUUCUCAUCUAAACUUGCAAAGAAACAAGGAGCCCCCUGCAAUCACAACCAUUUAUUGCAACGGCUCUCAGCCAUCUCCAAACUGCAGCCCUCACCAGUGACCCAGCAGCCGUUGCACUCACAAAGGACGUGUCUCUCACAGUACAAAGUAAUGCCUGGUACUCACAAAACCAAAGCAAUCAGCCAAGAUGAAAUAAAAGAGAGCAGAGCUGCAGACCUGGAGGAGCCUGUCCCUGACUCUGGACUCCACAAGGAGAACAGGAGACCCCCAAAAGGGGUUCCGCCGAGCCCGUCCCUUGGCGGUGGUGUCACUGGAUGCUGGGAAGAGAUGGUGGGAAGAGCCUCCAUCCAUUGGCGCGUCACUAAUUAGACAAGGAGGCCUUGGGCUCCCUUGAGAGAGUCACGGUUUCUCCUCCGUUGACCCGCCCUUCAUUGAACUCCUUUACUUGGAUAUUCAGAGCGCUGGACAGAGAUCACUUGGCGCUAACACCCUCGGAGGUCCUCACGGCGCUCCGUCGGAAUGACACAGUCGGAUUCCCAAGCUGCGAAGGGUGAGGGAGGGACUGCAGCGCAGGAACUGAGGAGGAGAGGCCCGCGCGCCCACUGGAGCCGAGCGGUGAGGAAUAACCGGACCGACCCCCGACGGUGCGUGACAGGCUAGAGCAGCGGCGCUAUCAUAGCUCACUGCAGCCUCGAACUGGUGAACUGGAGGGAUCUUCCCAACCAUCUUUUGUCUUUUUUAAGAAGAAAAAUACAAAAGCUUUUAUAUAGGCUUACACACAGCUACAGAGCAAAUCUUUAUCGUAUAUCCAAGAUUAUCAACCACUUGACUGUACAACCAGGAAUCAUAACACAUUUGAGAACAACCAGUGGCAAAAUAGGAAAAUGGGCCAAUGAAGAAGAUAGGUGACUAAUAAAUAAAAAUCUGAUAUCAAGUGUAGGCAAGUUGUAGGGAAAAUGGGUGAUGAACGAAUAGAACAAAUGCCUGGGGUAAACAUCAUUCGAAAGCCCAGAAAGAAGCUUUUAGACAUCUUUAUUGCUUUUUGGGGGGGCGGGGGGGGUGGGGUUCUGGAGGAUUGAUGGCUGAACUCUCAUGAAAAGGGUGCAGUCAGAGAACAAGAAAGAGUUCCCAGGAAUUAAAAUUGUAAACAGAAAAGCAAAUUCAGGGUAAUUGCUGAAAGACCCACCAAAGGAUCUCCAAGAUACAAUUGAGAAAAUCAACCCUAACAUAAAGGCAAAAGACAAAGGUGGGUUAUUUGAGCGAGAAGUGGUUUGAGGAUUUGCAAAUAUUUGUUUAGUAUUGAAUAUGUGCCAAGCACACAUUACAGAAUACGUUACUUAUGGGAAGUAACUUAGCCUUGAAGUAGCUCUGUGAGGAUGCAUGUGUUUCCUUUACCUAUAAUUCUAUAGGAAAGGCAAUUUUUAAAAAUAAAUCAAGGUUGGAUUUCAUCAAUUUUACAGAAUACGCAUAACUUUAUAAAAUUUUCAAAAUUCUCUAAAAACCUAUUGAGAUAAUUAAACAAGCGUUUUUCUCCUUUAGUCUGUUAAUGUGGAGAAGUAUUUUCUGAUGUUGAAACAUACUUGCAUUCCUGAUAUAAGCCAUACGUAUGAUAACAUAUUUUGCUUGUUUGCUAUUAUUAAUUCUGAAUUUGGUUCACUAAGAUUUUGUUUGAUUUUGCAUGUAUAUUUGUAAGUGAGAUUGGUCUAUAAUUUUCUUGUGUGGUUUUGGUAUCAUGCUAUAACAGCUUCUGAAAAUGUGUUAGAAAGUGUUUUCUUGUUAAAGUUUUAAACCUUCUGAGAAUUGGUUGAGGAGGAGCUUGAAAAUUUGUUAAAAUUCACCAUAAAAAUAUCAGGACCUGAAAUUUUGUUAUUGUUGUCAGUAAAUAAAAAUUAUCAACUGUCUUUUUAAUUGCUUUACUGAUUAUUGCUCUAUUCAUAAUAUCCAUUUUUUCAUGAGUCAGUUUUGGUAAUUUACAUUUAUCGAGAUAGUUGUCCGUUUCAUCUAAGUUUUAAAAUAUAUUGGUACAGCUAUUGUGGUAUUCUCUGAAUAAUUUUAAAAUCUCUCUUGUGUCUUCCUGAUUUGUCCUAUUUAAAUUUUUUUGAUUAAUCAAUUUAUAUUUUCAUAUUGUUUUCUCUCUCUCUCUCUCUCAUAAUGUUAUGGUUUAGAUAGGAAUGGUCCAGGGUGGAAUGACA
RNAcentral lists this long non-coding RNA (3143 nucleotides) under Homo sapiens (human). RNAcentral's name for it is "HSALNT0398010". The record is from RNAcentral. Lineage: Eukaryota; Metazoa; Chordata; Mammalia; Primates; Hominidae.